RNAcentral lists this unclassified non-coding RNA (331 nucleotides) under soil metagenome. Its description in RNAcentral is "partial contains 5.8S ribosomal RNA, internal transcribed spacer 2, and large subunit ribosomal RNA". The stretch from base 1 to 120 matches the Rfam family "5.8S ribosomal RNA", at positions 35 to 154 of the family's 154-position model. The record is from RNAcentral.
GAUGAAGAACGCAGCGAAAUGCGAUAAGUAAUGUGAAUUGCAGAAUUCAGUGAAUCAUCGAAUCUUUGAACGCACAUUGCGCCCCCUGGUAUUCCGGGGGGCAUGCCUGUUCGAGAGUCAUUUCACCACUCAAGCCUCGCUUGGUAUUGGGCAACGCGGUCCGCCGCGUGCCUCAAAUCGACCGGCUGGGUCUUCUGUCCCCUAAGCGUUGUGGAAACUAUUCGCUAAAGGGUGUUCGGGAGGCUACGCCGUAAAACAACCCCAUUUCUAAGGUUGACCUCGGAUCAGGUAGGGAUACCCGCUGAACUUAAGCAUAUCAAUAAGCGGAGGA